RNAcentral lists this transfer RNA (74 nucleotides) under Endocarpon pusillum Z07020. RNAcentral's name for it is "tRNA-Val (AAC) (tRNA-Val-AAC-2-1)". The record is from RNAcentral. Lineage: Eukaryota; Fungi; Ascomycota; Eurotiomycetes; Verrucariales; Verrucariaceae.
GGCCGGUUGGUGUAGUUAGUUAUCACGUAUCCUUAACACGGAUAAGGUCCUGGGUGCAAACCCCAGACUGGUCA